CUAAAUUUCAUCAAAACAUUUAAGACUUAUCUUCAACUUUCAAACAUGAGAGAAGUAAGCCACUCAAUACUAACUUCAAGCCAACCUCACUUUAAUCCAACACAUAAGAACCUCUUCCAUAAUUAUACAUUCAUAAUCACAGUGUAAACAAAUAAAAUAUCAUGUAACCCAACAAAAUUGACUUCGGGUUGCAUGAAAGAAAUACUUUAAAUCUGCUAAUUUGUAGCACUAAGCUAAUAGCCCAAAGAUAAUAAAGUAAUCACAAUCAUGAAUAUCAAAUAAGAGUGUUACGUAGCUAAUAAAUAAAAAAUAGAACAGAGAUAACAAUGUACCUUAUAUUGCCUUUAAAUUUUCUGCAAAGCAACGAUCAAAAUAACAAUGAUGACUACGAUUGGAACCAACAGCGAUGACCUCGAUAGAACCUCUGAUUUGGUGAUUCCAGAAGUGUUUGCAGUUGGUUCUGCUGCUCGUUCGAUGGAUGGAAUAUAGCUACUAUUUUCUGUGUUCUGGAGCUAUUUCGGGGUUGUUUUGUGAAUGGUGCAAGAGAAAUCAUAAAAAUGAUCGAAUCUUCGGACGCCCCGAAAAAGAUAUGAGGUACUCGGAAAUGGUCGAAGUAGUUGAAUAGGAUUCGCAGGUGUUGAAGCUACUUUAAUGGCUGCUUUUCAGCAGCGAUUUGACUAUUUUGGAUGGAGAUGUUGGACGAAGAAGAAGAGAUAGAAAGCGUUCACUUCUACUUAGGUCUGAAGGUUCAGGUUUAGGUGAUAAAGGCUAUGUAGGGUGUUGUGUGUAUGCGUUUAUCGGCUGUUUCCUUGAAGAAGAAAGGGAUUCGUUCGGUUCCUGGGGUGGUCGGCGUCUGGGGUUGGUUGGAGUAGCAGUGGCUCUAGGGUGUAUGAAGAAGAUGAAAUCUGGCUGGG
Molecule: long non-coding RNA, 914 nt
Filed under: Nicotiana benthamiana
Lineage: Eukaryota; Viridiplantae; Streptophyta; Magnoliopsida; Solanales; Solanaceae
Description: long non-coding RNA (NBEN_LNC011121)
Source: RNAcentral